ACCUACGGGACGCAGCAGUGGGGGAUAUUGCACAAUGGGGGAAACCCUGAUGCAGCGACGCCGCGUGGGCGAAGAAGUAUUUCGGUAUGUAAAGCCCUAUCAGCAGGGAAGAAGUAAUGACGGUACCUGAGUAAGAAGCACCGGCUAAAUACGUGCCAGCAGCCGCGGUAAUACGUAUGGUGCAAGCGUUAUCCGGAUUUACUGGGUGUAAAGGGAGCGCAGGCGGCACGGCAAGCCUGAUGUGAAAGCCCGCGGCCCAACCGCGGGACUGCAUUGGGAACUACCGGGCUGGAGUGCCGGAGCGG
RNAcentral lists this ribosomal RNA (305 nucleotides) under uncultured bacterium. RNAcentral's name for it is "bacterial SSU rRNA". It matches the Rfam family "Bacterial small subunit ribosomal RNA", at positions 337 to 657 of the family's 1533-position model. The record is from RNAcentral.